UUAGACCUCAUAAUGUUUUAAAAGUAAAUUAAAAAUUCUAAACACACCCCAAAAUCACUUUCAAUGUUUAUGUCAUAAGACCAUUUCUUUUUUCAAGUUUCAAAGUCACUUGCAUCUACUAUUGUAGAACAAAACCCUAACCAAUAAAAGCAUAAACAUGUUGAUAAAAAAACUGUUAUUUUUUACUAUCGAUGUUUGGAGGCUUAACAUUAUAUAGCACUUCAUAUGUUUUCAUUCUUUUAGUGAUUUCAACGACAUUGUUAUGUAUAGUAAGGCUACCAAUAGACAUUCCAUCUAAGAGAAACAUGAUUGACACUAAGGCUAUCAAUUGGUUGAUAUCUUGAUAAAGAUGACUUUUCGUUCAUGAUUUAUUUGGUUGAUAUUUUCUUAUUGUUUCGUUGCUGUGUUAUGAUACCCCUUGUAGAUACUGACAACACACCUAAAGUGUUUUCAUUAUCGAGUAAGAUGGUUAGUGUAGUAUUUGAUGACUAUUUCCUUACAAAAAAAAAAAGUUUAACGAUGUGGGAACAAAUGUAAGUAAAGGAACUUAUCUAGAUGGUAGAAACUCAUAGUUACAGGGGUUAAGGAUAUGUGCUAACUCUUGUUUACUUAACACAACUAGAUGAAGUAACAAAUCAACUUACCUACGGAUCAAAACGUUGAUAUUAAAAUGGGUGAUACUUUUGAUGAUUUAGCUAAUUAUGGAGUGGUUGAUGAUACGGGAGUCAUAAUAGCUGGUUGGGAUAGAGAAGGGGCAAUGUAAUCGACAUACAAGUUAAUUUUUUUUUUGUUAUUAGUUUCAUGUGCUUAUCUAGUAAAGGGUAUGUCAAAACCACUUAUAUUGCAAUACUAAAUGUCUUGUUUUGAUUUCAUUCUAGUUUCGGUGGUUUUAAACUCUAUUUUAUUUAUUUUACCUAUAUUACUUGUGUUGUCUUUGCUAGUUAUAAUAAAGAAAUGAAUAUUGAAGAAACAACCAACUUCCUCAUAAAAAAAUUAUUUUUAGCAACUGGCACCGAUGGAAUUUUGCAUGGCGAUCCCUCCAUCUUUUGUAUUUUCAUUGUUAACUCAUUAUCAGUUUUGAAUUAUGCAUUUUUCAUUCUCAAAUUUAUAUUUUUGUGUUUUUAUCCAAUUUAUCAUGUGCACAAAAAAAGGUGUGAAGAAAUCCUUAAACUCGAUUCUUUUUAAUCUUGUCCAGUUUAUCAUGUGCACAUCGUUCAUUCCCAAUAUCCAAUAAGGUUUGAAAGUAAAAUUUAGUGCUCCAAAGAUACGAAGUUACACCUUCUUUGCUUUAUACCAGAAAAUCGCCUUUGUCUUUUCUACCAGCUUCACUAAAUCAAUUUAUUUACAUAUCAAAUGAAAUAUGUUCUCGGAUUUCACAAUUGUAAUUUACGUAUUUUGUAUUUGCAAGAUUUUACAUUAUUUCUUUUCGUUCAUAUUAGAGCUUUAGUUAAUUCGUUACAAAGUUUGAAUUUUCGUAAUUAGUUAUUAAAAUUCUAUAGACUUUUUUCAAAUAGAUCUCAAUCCCAUGAACACGUGGACGAAAACCGUUUGCAAAAUAGAGCUUUAAUGAAGAAAUUACCAGUCGCUAAAGUCAAGGUCAUUUUUGUCUUUUGACAGAGUCCACAUAGGGAAGACCCUAAAAGGCUGGAGUAGCCUUUCCUCUUUUAGAAAGUUAAACGACAACAUACGUGGAGGAGAGGUGAUUGAUCACGACCUAGUUCCUAAAAUGUCGAUUUCUUCCUUUUCUUGCACUUAUGAUCGUCGCCACCACCACCAAAAUGCAGCUCGUGACCCCAAGAUCAAUACCCAUCCAAGAUUCACUCAAGAAACAACUAGAGGUGGCAAUUCGAGGCCACAUUGUUUAAGUGAUGCAAUGAGUUUCUCGCAUUUUUUCGACAAGCUCGCAAAACUACAAUAACCCAAACAACUUGGGAUCGACUCACCUUAGAUCUAGCUACAAACUCUAGGCUUAGCUCCUCAAUCAGACGUCGAACGACGACACACCGUGCGUGCGCCAUUCACGAUUUUCGAGGGACUUUUGACAAUUUCAUCGUCUUCUGUCCACUUUCAGACUUAGUGUCAGUUGUGGACAAUCAUAUGUGGCUUUAUGAGAGGAAUUCUCAACGUCAACCACAAAUGUGUUGGUCCAAAGGGUUAAUGUGGCAAAUAAGUGCAUUUUGGAGCAUUUUUAGGCAUGGAAUGGAUGGCAUAUGCUUGGACCAAAAGGAAUGGACGAAAUUUGAAGUUUGUGCAUCAUCCUCUCCCUAUAAAUAACCAUUUUAGCACGCUCAUUUCACCCAACACACACAUUCACCUACC
Molecule: long non-coding RNA, 2319 nt
Organism: Malus domestica (apple)
Lineage: Eukaryota; Viridiplantae; Streptophyta; Magnoliopsida; Rosales; Rosaceae
Source: RefSeq, a predicted model, not a curated record